RNAcentral lists this non-coding RNA (30 nucleotides) under Mus musculus (house mouse). The record is from RNAcentral. Lineage: Eukaryota; Metazoa; Chordata; Mammalia; Rodentia; Muridae.
UCCCCAACUCUGUGACACAGGAGCUUUGCC